UACAACGUCCCCUGAAUCCUCAUUCCACAUGACAAGCAUACAUAUGAUACAAUAAUCUUUUCAAAUUUCAAUCUAUGAAAGGUGCAUUGUAUUUUUCUUUGAUGCUGUAUAUUUUUUCACAAGAAAUACAAAUAGGAGCCCGAUCCCAAAACCCAUUUUCAAUCAAGGGGUGGUCCUCUGAUAUAUUUAUAUAGUCAUGACUAUGUCAGAAUAACUGCUUGUAGGGAAUCAGAUGGGGUGAAUACUGAAUAGUGUCCAUAAAUGUAGGUCACCAAAUUUUGAUAAUAAAGGGUGGUUGGUGAAAUCCCUUAAUAUCACAUUCACCCCUAGGUAAAGCCAUCGGCCCAUGGCAGACAAAGAGUAAAGCCCUUGCCAAAAUGUCUACAACCAGUGAUGGAUCUAGGGGGUCGUACGGUUGCCCCUCCAAUAUGUUCCAAACAAAAUUCACAAGUUUAUAUAUUGAAUAGUGAAAAAUUUUGCGAAAAUAUAUGCAUUCCUGACCUCGAAAAAAUUCACACAUAUAGGUUACAUGAUAUAUUCUCAUCCUUGUCUACAACCUCCCCUGAAUCCUCAUUCUAUAAUGUACAAUCAUCUUUUCUCUUUUGAAUGGAUGUGAGAGGUACAAUGUAUGUUUGUCUGAGGUUCUACUUUUCCUUGAGUCAAAUGCAAUAUGAAUUCCCUUUGAGUCCCUCCAGAAUGGUCUGCAGCUCCAGGCAAAGGUGUUGGGCAGUUCUCCCUCUACAAUCAAAGGCGCUUCACUGAGUUGUCCAAUUACUGGUUGGUUCUCUCUACAGAUAUAAUGUAGUUUGCUGUUGGUUUUGAAUUGAGUUUACAAGAGAUGUAUUUAAAGAACAUGUCAUUGCCGCAAAUCCUUCCAUCAUUAAGUCAUGAACCAGGAAUCCGUUAACCACACAAAAUCCUAUGUUGAAGUAAUAAUAAGAAUUUAUCAUUUCACAAACUGAACUACAAAAACAAACUGUGCAAACAAUGAAUAUGCAUGUAGCUGAUUAAAAGCCGAAGUUGAAGAAAACAUAACCCACCAGAUCCAAAACCUGCUAGCAACUCGGCUAUAUAAUUGGCCAAUGUGCAUUUGCUGGAACUAGUAAAGUAAUAUCUCUAGCUAGAGAGGAUAGAUCAUUAUAACUGAAAUUCCUGUAAAAACAAUACACCAAAUUA
This 1176-nucleotide long non-coding RNA is filed under the name Aquilegia coerulea. RNAcentral's name for it is "long non-coding RNA (ACOE_LNC001192)". The record is from RNAcentral. Lineage: Eukaryota; Viridiplantae; Streptophyta; Magnoliopsida; Ranunculales; Ranunculaceae.